UUGGCAUCUUCCAUUUGGGCAUUGAAGGUUGUAGUCAAUAUAAUUUACGUAUGUAUAUAUACAUCCACCCUUGAAAUGGAAUUAUUUGAAUUCUAGUUGUUUGAACUUUGAUUUAGAUUACUCGGAUGAAAAUAUGAAUUGGGUUUUUAAAAAAAAAUAUUUCUACUGGAGUGUCUACAGUUCAAUACCAACUCAAUCUUGUUUUCUUGGAGUGCAUAGAUUGGGAGAGAUUUUGCCUAAUUAGUAUCUGCUGUCAUGAUUAUUUGAGUUUGUGUAUCUUCUUGAAUUUCUCAUAAUAUAGCUUUUAAUUUUGAAGAAACCCAAUUUGUGGUGUGAGGUUUGGUGAAACAGACAACAAUUUGAGAUUUCUUAUUGGAUUUUCAAAGAUAGAAAAGAAGGGGAACUUACAAGACUCAACGAGAAGAGUAGGUGAGUGGUAAGAGAAGGAUUAAUGGAGAU
Molecule: long non-coding RNA, 459 nt
Filed under: Olea europaea (common olive)
Lineage: Eukaryota; Viridiplantae; Streptophyta; Magnoliopsida; Lamiales; Oleaceae
Description: long non-coding RNA (OEUR_LNC004011)
Source: RNAcentral